UAUCUCCUCAAUCCCGACAUGUCCCGGGCUCCGAACGUCUCCUGGGAAGCGGCACGAUGGAUCAAGGCCUCCCCAGCCCCGGGCCCCCUUCUCGGCCAUUCCCGGGACCGGUCUGACUUGUUCCCAGGUAAUCUGAGGGGAAACCGAGAAAUCAGCACGCUGAGAAGAGGAGCAGUGCUACGCAAGAGGCCAUGGAGGAUGGAUAGAGACGGACAGAUGGGUAGAACCUCUGGAAGCAGCAUGUGUGUGGGUUGUGGGAGUCCUGCUUAUGUGGAGCCUGUGUAGACUGUGUGAGGCUGGAUGGGGGAGAGUGAGCAGAAGUGUGAUGGCGAGGGUCAUGUGAGUGUACAUGUGUGAGCCUGUGUGAAGCUGUGGCUGUCUCCUAUUUAUGGCUGCCUGAAGCUUUUAUUUUCUGUGCCUAGAAAUUUCUUCCCUCUGUUGUAUAAUAAAGAAUUUGUCUGGCCUUUGUCCCUGGUUCCUGAGAGGGAGACUCUGAAUCUUUAGAAUUUCCCAAGUAAUCGGAGUAUCUUUGUUAUUUAUGAGCCCCUUGGAUCACACCUGAGUUUAUGCUAAGGGAUGAGAUGAUUUAGGAUGGAGGCUGGUCACCAGAAACACCAACCAUGUUAUUGCAGAGAUGGGGCUUUGAGCCAGCCUGACCGGGGAGGGGAGGAGGGCUGGAGAUUGUUUAGUCAUGUGGCCAACAAUUCAUUCAUGUCUGUGUGAUGAAAUCUCAAUGAAAACCAAAGCUCAUGGAUCUUCCUGGUUGGUGAACAUACUGACUGACGUGCUGAGAGGGUGAUGUGCUCUGUGUGUCUCUGUGGGGAGAGUGUGCAAACUCUGCAUUUGAGACCCUCCCAGACUUUGCCCUGUGUAUCUCUUCAUUUGGCUGUUCCUGGUUUAUAUCUUUUGUAAAAAACUAAUUGUAAGUGUAGCACUCCUGAGUUCUGUGAGCCACUCCAGUGAAUUAUUGAACCUGAGGAGCAUUGUGAGAACAUCCAGGACUUGUAGCUGGUUGGUCAGAGAUGCAGGUGGCCUGGGGACCCCACUUGUAGCUGGCAGCUCAAGUGGGGGCAGGUUUUUUGGGACUGUGCCCUUAAACCUGUGGAGUCUAACGCUAACUCUGGGUAGUUAGUGUCCGAAUUGAAUUGCAGUACAUGAGUUGGUCGCAGGAUACCUCUCCGCUGGAUGUGCUCCCCACUGUCUCCUUCUCUCUGGAAGAACCUUUUUUCCCUUUCAUAACUCUUCAGUAGCCUCCCUGUCCCCAUUCCCCCAUUUCUCACUCCUUGUCUUUAGCUCUGAGGAUCUCAGCAAUCAGCAGUUUGGAAGAAGGAAGGAGGGUUUGUACUGUUGCCCUUAGGGAAGGUUUGCAGUGUUAUCUCCUCCGAGGUAUUUGAACUCUCAGACUUCAGGCUAGGGGUCAGGGCUUGGUUCAGGAUUAGAGGUUCAGUAAAGAGUGCCUCCCUCUUUCCCAGGUUUCUCCUCACCUCCACCUCUUCUCGGUGGUCCUAAGACACCUGGAGUGGGAAGGAUGGGACCUAGCUGGUCCCCUAGAUUCCCUGAGGACAAUCACAAGAAGCGGGAUAAGGCUGGAGAAGGUCCCCUCCCAGGUUCCCCAGGUCUCCGUAGGCCUAUCUCAGUGCUUCCACAUCCAUCAUCUGAGACUCACUCAUCCCUUGGACAAGCAGAGGUAAAGGGAAAGUUCUUUGGGAGCAGGUCCAGCUCCCCUACCUCACAUCCUGGGACUCUAGGGCUUCACCCUCCUGGCCCACCCAGUACUGCCCCUCUCCCCAUUGACACAUUUUCCUGUGUUCCAAGCUGAAUUGGAGGAAUAGAUUGAGAUAAGCCUGGCCUAGAACACUCCCUUCUUCUAACCAUGCCUUACCUAUCCUGAGAAUUACGAGGGGAUUUCUGAGGAAAAAGAGGCUGGUCAGUUCACAGACCAGGAAUCUAGAGAUGAGAGAGGGGAGCAAAUACUUUUCCCAACUGAUGAGAGAGAUCCAAGAGACAGAGACCAGAGGAGGAGACCUCUCAGGAAAGACUAAUUGUGGAGUGCUAUUCUGUUUCCCAUUCCCAGCCCUAGAGCAUAUGAUGUGACACACUUAACUGUGGGCCCAUUUUUUUCUGGCUUAUCUAUCCAUCAUUCAUCCAUCCAUCCAUCCUUCCAUCCAUCCAUCCAUCCAUCCAUCCAUCUAUCUAUCCAUCCAUCAUGUGUCCAUAUGUCCACCCAUCUUUGUCUCUUCAUUGGUCCAUUUUUCCUUCUUCCAUAUUUCCUUUCAUCUGUCUUUUCAUAUCUUCAUCUGCACUUAUUCAUCUGUAUGUUCAACCAUUAUGCAUCUAGUAAGGCGUCCAUUUAUCUAUCUAUCAUUUAUGGUAAUAGUUAACAUUUGUUGAUCCUUAUGUGCCAGGUUCCCUGCUAAAUACUUUAAAUUUGUUGUUGCGUGACGAAGCUGUGAAGUAGAGUGCCAUAAGCUAUGUUUUUGUUCAUGCAGACACUGUUCUAUACUCCUUUUUAAGGUUCCUUUCGGGAGCUCCUCUCCCGCUUCAUAUAGUCUUGGUGGGUCUGUCAACCACAGUGCCCUGAUCAGAGCACCCCAUUCCCCAUCACUGUAAUAUACUGAAGAACUGAGUAUGUGUCACAAGCUCCUUAAUCAGAGCUUUUCAUGGAGUUUGAUGUUAGGAGAAAGAGGGUCUCUAUUUUAGAUCAUUCACUAUAAAAAUCUAGACUUGAGGCUUCCAGUGGCCAUAUUUGCUGCUGCUAGAAGAGCACCUGUCUAUAACAGGAAUGAGGCCCCCACACAAAGAAUUAGAAAUAAAGUUAAGAGAUGGUGAUAACAUCUUUUGAACCCCUGGAUCAAGUAGGGCUGAAGUAGACUAAAUCAUCUUAAUGGAUCUAGUUAUGUGAUAUGACAAGUAUAACUUUUUGCUUAAGCUACUUUAAGUUGGGUUUUUGUCUUUUGCAGGAGAAAGAGCUCUGAAUAAUGAUUACUGUAUUAUUAUCCCCAUUUAUAGAUGAGAAACCUAAAACUCAGAAAGAUUAGUUUACCCAAUGUUUCCCAGCUUAUAAAUGGCAGAACAUUGGCAUUUGGAGCAAAACUCUGGUAUACUACCUAUGUAUGUCUGUCUGUCCAUCUCUCCAUCCAGCCAUCCAUCAAUCCAUCCAUCCCAUUCAUUUAUUUAUCUGACCAUCCUUCAAUGCUAAGAUACCAAAGGCAGUAAGCCUUGUCCCAGUUGCCAACUCCAAUUCUAAGGCUGGGUUUGGGUGAGAUUAGCAAACUUUUUCUGUAAAAGUAAAAAGAUAGUAAAUAUUUAAAGUUUUGCUGGCCUCUGUAGUGACUAAUCAGUUUGCUGUUGUAGCCAAAAAGCAGCCAUAGACAAUCUGUAAAUGAAGAGGGAUGGCUGUAUUCCAAUAAAACUUUAUUUACAAAAACAGGUGGCAGGCUGAAUUUGGCCCAGGGGCCAUAAUUUGCUGAGCCUUGGUAUAGAUCUGUGGGGAAGAUGCAUACGUCCUGUCAUUGUUGAGAACAUGAGUUGGGAGUGGGAACAUGUAUGCCUUGCAUUUGCCAUUACUAAUGUAGUGGAAACAAUGGGUUUUCAUCCUCAGACUCUUGUGUUAGAAUCUGGCUUUAUGACCUUGGACAUAAACAGGGAACAGGUGACAGUUUCCUCAUCUGUAAAAUGGGAAUAAUAUAUAUCUAGUGAGGUAGGACAUGUGCCUGACUCACAGUGGGCAGUCGGUGAAAGUUCGGUCCGUCCCCCUUUCUCAUUCAUCACCUACCAUGUAUCACCAGUAUCCGAAGGCCUCUCUCUCUUUAGGGCAUCUUGGGAUGUGGUGAGGACAGCUCAGUCUGGCUUGCUGAGUUCAGGAGCCCAGCUUCUAAGAAUGAGCUUGCGUAUAAGUUACAUAGAUUAAGCUCUUGCCAACUCCACAUUUCUCUUUCUAGAAGCUCUACCCUAACUCUUAUCUGCCCUGUUCCAAACCUAAAGUCACUCUAGUUCCCAGCAAAACAAACGGCUCCCCAGUCAACUGGCCCUAUGAGACCUGGAAGCUGGACCCUCUUAUGAAGUCCACCACUCAGGAUAUCACCCGUUCCCCAGGGGGCUUUUCAGCCUAUUUCUUCUAAAGAAACACUCCUCUCCAGGAGGAAAGAUUGUGCCCAUGUGUGUUUGUGUGUCUGUGGCCAUGACUGUGUGUAUGUGUAAUCAUGUAUGUGCUUUUGUGUCUAUAUUGUGAUUAUAUGCUUAAAUGUCCGUGGUGUGUCCCUGAUGUAGGUGAGUGAUUGACUGUAUGCCUGUGUGUGGGGUGGGUAUGGACAUAUGUGGGUGAUGAGGGUGUCAGCACUUGUGUGUUUGUGUGAGCAUGUGUUCUGACUGCUUGUCAAUCCAUCCCUUCGUGGCUCUCAGCCUCCAAGGGCCUGCAGGGGGCAUCCAUUGCACAGGGAAAAUGGGAUAUGGGGCUCCUGGCCUGGGCUCAGCCUCCUGGGGCCUGCAGAGGGCGUCUAGCAUAUAGGAGAAAGGGGAUAUGGGACUCAUGGCCUGUGGAAGGGGAGCUCUGGCCUGAGGAGGCUGGGCUGUCUUGUUCCAGAAAGGAGCUGGAAAUGAGCAAGAAACCAGAUGACUCAGCUCCUGAAAGUCCCUGAUCCUGGGAAGGGGUCUGCUUCACACCUCCUUCUCCAAAGCCUCUGUCCAUAUCCAGAGGGUCCCUGCCCAGCCAGAGGGAAGGCUUGGGCCUGCAGGCUCAGAGUGUGGGUGGCACAUUGCAUAGGACUUCCGGAGGUGACGGGACACCAGGAUGGGGGAAGUCUUGAGCAAUAGCACACCCCCCUUCCCUGCCUCUUGCCCUCUGGAGUUUGAAGUAACACCACUGUCAGGAUUUCCCACACACCCCCUCUCCUUCGUUUCCUGCAAUUUGGGCCACUCUGAGCCCCAGGGUUCCUGAGCCUGGGCUAAGCUUGCUUGGGAGAUGCUCAGGAAACAAGGGCCCCUGAACACAAAGCAGAAGGUGACCUAUGUGGCUGGAGAUGGUGUGCCCUGGGGGAUCAGAGGGGAGGCUGCAGGGUGGAAGGAGCUCUGUAGAGCCAUGAGGAUGGGUGAGGCAGGAGGGAGGACAUUCCAGGGAGAAUGAAAAGCAAGCACAAGGCUCAGAGGAGGGAUCGGGUUUGUGAUUAAUCCCACUGUGGGUGAGGUGGGGGAAGGGCAAGUGGGGAGAGAAGCUAUGUGUGCGGGGAAGGUGGACUGGGGAAGUUAUUUCUGGUCAGAUCUAUCUUUGGAAAGAUUCCGGAGGAUGGAACCGUGGGGAUGACCAGCCCAGGUACUGCUCCUGCCCGGAGGAGGGAGGCUGAAGCCAGGGCUGGCCGUAGCUGUGGGGCUGGGGAGACACAGACACCACAGACAUAAAGAGGCACAAAGCUCAUGACUUGGUGGCCAACCAGAGUGAAGGAAAGAAGAGGUAGAAGGACUGGAAGUGACGUACAGAUUUUCUUCCGGGUUCCAGGCUGUAGAACCAACUGCCUGUUUGGGAUUUUCUCUUGGCUUUCUCAAAGACACCUUAUUUCAAACCAAACUCUCGAUUCCCAGUACCUCCCUCCCAGCUGGUCUCCUUUUCCAGUCAUCCACUGCAGAGGAUGUCACCACCAUCCCUCUAGCUGCUUGGGCCUGCAGACUGGUGUCAUCCUGGUUUUCCCCUUUCCCUCAGGCCUCAAAUAUAAGCUAUCAGCUCAGCCUGCUGUUCAGUUUCACAAGUAUGUCGAGAACCCUCCUCUGUUCCAGCUGCCACCAGCUGGCUCAGGUCAGCAUCGUUUCUUUCCUGGACUACUGGAAGAGCCCUCUGACCUUCCCACUGCCCUAUAGAACUCAUUUUCAAAACUUCCAGGAGGAUCUUCUUAAACUGUUAAUGAGGUCAUGUUACUCAUCUGCUUACGUCUUUCAUAGCCUUAACAAAAUUGGCACUCUUUCCUGUGUCCUGUAAAGACUCGGAUCAUGCAACCCCGGCCUCCCUGGCUUACCUCACCUUGUACCCUCUCCUCCUUGCCCACUAUACUCCAGCCACACUGGUCUUUUCUCCUCGAGGGGCUGACUUCUCUUUUAGGUGUUAGCUUAACUAUUGUCUCCUCAAAGAGGCCUUCCCUAACCACCCUAUUUAAAUGUAAAACAUGUCGUCGUUGCCAUCUCUUCCCAUUUUUAUCAUUCUUAGCCUUUUUUGUUGUGUCUUUCAUACAUAUAUCCAAUUUGAAGUUCUUUUAUUUAUAUGUUGUAGCAGACCUUUGUGUUGUUUUUGACUGACCACGUUUGAACCUCUUUCCCACAUAAAAGCCUGAUAGGCUGGAUACUCACUUUCUCACUCCCCCUGCAUUUAGGGAGUGGUCCCAUGGCCUGGUUCAGCCAAUCAGGUGCACCCUUCAGGACUGUAAAUUGGAGCUAGUGAUGAAAAGGAGAAGAGACCAUAGGGAUCCAUUUUGGUAGUGGUGAUGGUAAAGGUGGUAGCAGUGCCAGCCUCUGCUGCUCAGCCUUUUAGCUCAGCAGAUCCAGUGGUGAUAGCCAUGCUGUACAAGGUCAGUGAGGGUGCUUACACUCCCAGCAUGCCCAUUCCUGGGUUAUCGCCACCCUUGCAUCAGUCCACACCUAUAGCCCAUGGAAACUUCCCUAUGGCCAUUGACCCACAAAGCCAUUUUUGAGCCAGGCUUGUAUGGUUCUGCACAGUUUGCUUGGACUAGCUUGUGGUGGACCACUAUAAUGUUAAAGCUCCAUUCAGGGUGAUCCUGAAGGACAGUGGAGAAGAAUGUUUUUCUAGUGUGCAGAACAUCUCAUUCGUUUUUUCUGGAAGGGGAGUGGUUUUCUUAGAUUGGAAGCUAAGGCUAUCAUCUGGCUUGGGCUUCUCAUGCCACGGGGUGAAUGUGGAGUUAUCACACUGGCCUGGGAGGUCAAUCCUGACUAUUGAGGGGAAAUAAGGCUGCUGCUACAAGAUGGGGUUGUGGAGGAGUGUAAAGGCAUCCAGGUGAUCCUGGGGGUACCUGGGGUACCUCAUAGUGACGUCAUGCCCAGUUGUCAAAGUUAAUGGAGAACCCCUGUAACCUUCAUCAAGCUGGACCACCAGGGGCUGGUAUCCCUUGGGUGUGAAAGUUUGGGUCCCUUAACAAUCAUAGAAUAUCAACUGGCUGAAGUGCCAGUUGGAGGUAAAAGGAAUAAGUCAUAGAGGAAGGGUGGUAAAGAGAAUUCUAGAUUCCUGUCCCCUGGUUUGUGUAUCCUGUAUAAUCCUUCUUUGAGGGGUUCCCCUUGACCUCUUUACCUGUAAAUAUGAUAGGAUAUCACACAUGUGAUUAAGCUAUUGCCAUAUGGCAAAAAUGAAGGGAUUUUGCAGAUGUAAUUAAGGUCCCUAAUCAAUUGACUUUGAGUUAGUCAAAAGGGAGAUUAUCCUGGGUGGGCCUGACCUAAUCAGAUAGGUCCUUUAAAAAAGUGUCUGGAGAUAAGAGGCAGCAGCAGAUGCUCUCAUGUUGGCCUUGAAGAAGCAAACUGUCCUGUUGUGGAGAGGGCCAUGCAGCAGGGAGUUGCAGGCAGCUCUAGGAACUGAGGACCUCAGUCCUACAACCCCAACUGCCAACACCCAGAGGCUGUAGAAGAGGAGUCUGAGCCUGAGAUGAGGUUGCAUCCCCAAGUUCAGCCUGGGGAGACCCCGAGCAGAGGACCCAGCCAAUCUGUACCUGGACUGCUGACCCACAGCAACUGAGAGGUUCUUGUGGUGAUGUUGCUCGUACUCAUGAAGACUCUGGUUUACUUCUGGCAGUUGCCCUGUUGAUGUUGGGCAUGGCUCUGUGACCGACUUCAGCCAAUGAAAUGUGUGCAGAAGUGGCAUGUGUCAUCUGUGGACAGAAGCAUUUAAGCAAGGAUUCCCCUUGCUGUCUUCCGUGGCUGGAAUGAUCAUGGAACAUGUGUUGAGAUGAAGGAGCAUGCCCAAAGAUCAAGGCAGCCGGAAAUGUUGAGCCACCGUAAGGAGCACAGCUGUGCUAGAGACUCGCCUGGACCCACAGCAGGCUUGGUGUGCAUGGGGAAUAGAAUUUUGUUGCCUUAAGCCACUCAGAUUUGGGUGGCAUUUGUUGUUGCAGCGUAACCCAGCCUAUCCUAACCAAUCAGGUGUCUUGGUGGUGGUUCUCAGGUGGUAGAAUAGGGAGAUGAGAUUACAGCAAAACUAGGGGAGGAAUGGAUGUCACUUCCAGAUCUUGGAUUUAGAAUUGGAUUUUGUUGGGGGUGGGGGUGGGGUGGCACUGUGGCUGAGUGGUUAAAAUUCCACAUGCUCUGCUUCAGUGGCCCAGGUUUGAGGGUUCGGAUCCUGGGUGCAGACUA
Molecule: long non-coding RNA, 8334 nt
Organism: Equus caballus (horse)
Lineage: Eukaryota; Metazoa; Chordata; Mammalia; Perissodactyla; Equidae
Source: RefSeq, a predicted model, not a curated record